This 117-nucleotide non-coding RNA is filed under the name Hemiselmis virescens. The record is from RNAcentral. Lineage: Eukaryota; Cryptophyceae; Cryptomonadales; Hemiselmidaceae.
CGUUGGGACCACGUGGUGGGUGCUGUGCUACUUGCACUUGACAAGACUGCCCCGGGGAAAGUCUGAAGGGGGGGAGCUGACCGUGACAGCGACUGUCACGGGGGCUUCGGAACCAGA